Molecule: long non-coding RNA, 705 nt
Organism: Hirundo rustica (Barn swallow)
Lineage: Eukaryota; Metazoa; Chordata; Aves; Passeriformes; Hirundinidae
Exons: 4
Source: RefSeq, a predicted model, not a curated record
CAAACGAGGCCUCUGUGUGAUGGUUGAUUUCUCGUGUGUUUCAGUGAGCCGGGGCUGGCACAAGGACUCGUGCAGGUACUGACCUGGCACUGGAGCCGUUGCCCUUGGAGCCAUUUUAAAGGUAUCAUCCUAGAACCUUUUGGAGGCCGUUCCUGGAAUUCCAUUUGUAGCUGGAUCUCACUCCAAGUGCAUCAGUCCAGUGAGAAGAACACGAACUCCCACCCAUUCAGGCCUGACAGUUCCCUGCAGCGAGAGCUCAGCACACAUCCACAAAAACAAGUCCAGUAUCUGAAAGAGAAAAAAGAAAGACCAAACCAGAAGAAAAAGGUUGCCAAGACGUGUUUGGGGAACCGUAACGAUUCAAAGCCUCGUCUGAAGGCAGCAGAAGCAGAGACAAGCUUUCAGGAGUUGCACAGCCCUCCAUGGACUAAACCUGAAGAUAAAAAGCCACCUGAAAAAAAGGAGAAAAAAUACAAAGAAUCAGUUAGUAUAGCAGGAAAAAACCUCUAAAUGCCACUGAUCAACAUUGCAAAAUGCCAGUGGCUUCCAUCCUCACGUUCCAUUAGCACAAAGGCAUGAAAUGUCCCAGGUUUCCAAAGCAUGCAUUUUUCACUGUUUUAUCAACGUCUGUAAACGAGUCUAGAACAGACCGAUUAGCACCUUACAGCAAGAAUCCAGAAUGGAUAUCUGAAGAAAUGCUUUGGA